Molecule: ribosomal RNA, 466 nt
Filed under: uncultured bacterium
Lineage: Bacteria
Description: bacterial SSU rRNA
Rfam family: Bacterial small subunit ribosomal RNA
Source: RNAcentral
GGCCUAACACAUGCAAGUCGAGGGGCAGCAUGGUCUUAGCUUGCUAAGACUGAUGGCGACCGGCGCACGGGUGCGUAACGCGUAUGCAACUUGCCUCACAGAGGGGGAUAACCCGUCGAAAGACGGACUAAUACCGCGUACACUCUAUGUUGGGCAUCCAAUGUAGAGGAAAUGAACUUCGCUGUGAGAUAGGCAUGCGUCCCAUUAGCUAGUUGGUGAGGUAACGGCUCACCAAGGCGACGAUGGGUAGGGGAACUGAGAGGUUGAACCCCCACACUGGUACUGAGACACGGACCAGACUCCUACGGGAGGCAGCAGUGAGGAAUAUUGGUCAAUGGGCGAGAGCCUGAACCAGCCAAGUCGCGUGAAGGAUGACUGUCUUAUGGAUUGUAAACUUCUUUUAUACGGGAAUAACAAGAGUCACGUGUGGCUCCCUGCAUGUACCGUAUGAAUAAGCAUCGGCUAA